GACGAACGCUGGCGGCGUGCUUAACACAUGCAAGUCGAACGCAGUGGCGAACGGGUGAGUAAUACGUGGGUAACCUGCCCUCCUUUUUGGGAUAAGCCUUGGAAACGGGGUCUAAUACAAUAUCAUGGGGGAUGGGCUAGCGGCCUAUCAGCUUGUUGGUGGGGUAAUUGCAUAACAAGGCGGUGACGGGUAGCCGGCCUGAGAGGGUGACAGGCGACAGAGAGACGGAGAUACGGCCAAGAGUACGAAGGGGGGGAGCAGUGGGGGAGAUUGCACAAUGUGCGAAAGCGUGAUGCAGCGACGCCGCGGGGGGGAUGAAGGCGGUCGGGUUGUAAACCUCGUGCGCAACCGAACGGGUAGGUGGAGAGGAAGCGCCGGCUAACUACGUGCCAGCAGCCGCGGUAAUUC
This 408-nucleotide ribosomal RNA is filed under the name uncultured bacterium. RNAcentral's name for it is "partial 16S ribosomal RNA". It matches the Rfam family "Bacterial small subunit ribosomal RNA", at positions 28 to 526 of the family's 1533-position model. The record is from RNAcentral.